GGCUGGUCCAAAGGUAGUGAGUUAUUUCAAUUGAUUGUUCACAGUCAGUUACAGAUCAAACUCUUGUUGUACUCUUCCCCCCUUCUCACUACUACAGUUGACUAAUUAAAA
Molecule: unclassified non-coding RNA, 111 nt
Organism: Cercocebus atys (sooty mangabey)
Lineage: Eukaryota; Metazoa; Chordata; Mammalia; Primates; Cercopithecidae
Rfam family: Y RNA
About the family: Y RNAs are components of the Ro ribonucleoprotein particle (Ro RNP), in association with Ro60 and La proteins. The Y RNAs and Ro60 and La proteins are well conserved, but the function of the Ro RNP is not known. In humans the RNA component can be one of four small RNAs -- hY1, hY3, hY4 and hY5.
Source: Ensembl